This 75-nucleotide transfer RNA is filed under the name Methanococcus aeolicus. RNAcentral's name for it is "tRNA-Arg". It matches the Rfam family "tRNA". Rfam says of the family: Transfer RNA (tRNA) molecules are approximately 80 nucleotides in length. Their secondary structure includes four short double-helical elements and three loops (D, anti-codon, and T loops). Further hydrogen bonds mediate the characteristic L-shaped molecular structure. tRNAs have two regions of fundamental functional importance: the anti-codon, which is responsible for specific mRNA codon recognition, and the 3' end, to which the tRNAs corresponding amino acid is attached (by aminoacyl-tRNA synthetases). tRNAs cope with the degeneracy of the genetic code in two manners: having more than one tRNA (with a specific anti-codon) for a particular amino acid; and 'wobble' base-pairing, i.e. permitting non-standard base-pairing at the 3rd anti-codon position. RNAcentral also lists the same sequence under 1 other name. The record is from RNAcentral. Lineage: Archaea; Methanobacteriati; Methanobacteriota; Methanococci; Methanococcales; Methanococcaceae.
GGGCUCGUGGUUUAGUCUGGAUAUGAUACUGGACUUCGGAUCCAGUGAUCGGGGGUUCGAAUCCCUCCGAGCUCG